UACGUAGGGUGCAAGCGUUAAUCGGAAUUACUGGGCGUAAAGCGUGCGUAGACGGUAGCGUAAGUCGGGUGUGAAAGCCCCGGGCUCAACCUGGGAAUUGCAUUCGAGACUGCUCUGCUAGGGUGCGGAAGAGGGAAGCGGAAUUUCCGGUGUAGCGGUGAAAUGCGUAGAUAUCGGAAGGAACACCAGUGGCGAAAGCGGCUUCCUGGUCCAGCACCGACGUUCAGGCACGAAAGCGUGGGGAG
This 245-nucleotide ribosomal RNA is filed under the name uncultured bacterium. RNAcentral describes it as "partial 16S ribosomal RNA". It matches the Rfam family "Bacterial small subunit ribosomal RNA", at positions 524 to 768 of the family's 1533-position model. The record is from RNAcentral.